GGAGUUAAGGAAUGUAGAUACGCUAAUAUCGUAUCUAUUUGACAAAGGCUCCAAAGGAAGCCACGGCAAACUCUGUGCCAGCCGCCGCGGUAAUACAGAGGUGGCAAGCGUUGUUCGGAAUUAUUGGGCGUAAAGAGCACGUAGGUGGAUUUGUAAGUCAGAUGUGAAAGCCUUCUGUUCAACGGAAGAAUUGCAUCUGAAACUACAAACCUUGAGUAUAGGAGGGG
This 227-nucleotide ribosomal RNA is filed under the name uncultured Planctomycetales bacterium. RNAcentral describes it as "partial 16S ribosomal RNA". It matches the Rfam family "Bacterial small subunit ribosomal RNA", at positions 439 to 657 of the family's 1533-position model. Lineage: Bacteria; Pseudomonadati; Planctomycetota; Planctomycetia; Planctomycetales. The record is from RNAcentral.